Molecule: ribosomal RNA, 253 nt
Filed under: uncultured bacterium
Lineage: Bacteria
Description: partial 16S ribosomal RNA
Rfam family: Bacterial small subunit ribosomal RNA
Source: RNAcentral
UACGUAGGGUCCGAGCGUUGUCCGGAAUUAUUGGGCGUAAAGGGCGCGUAGGCGGUCGGAUAAGUCUUGUGUGAAAUCUUCGGGCUCAACUCGAAGUCUGCACAGGAAACUAUCUGGCUUGAGUGUGGGAGAGGUGAGUGGAAUUCCUGGUGUAGCGGUGAAAUGCGUAGAUAUCAGGAGGAACACCUGUGGCGAAAGCGGCUCACUGGACCACAACUGACGCUGAGGCGCGAAAGCUAGGGGAGCAAACAGG